ACGCUCGACACCUACGGAGGCAGCAGUUGGGAAUAUUGGACAAUGGAGGAAACUCUGAUCCAGUGACGCCGCGUGAAGGAAGAAGGUCUUCGGAUUGUAAACUUAUUUUGUCAGGGAAGAAAAAUGACUGUACCUGAAGAAAAAGCACCGGCUAACUACGUACCAGCAGCCGCGGUAAUCUGAGCGGGCUGGCAAGGC
Molecule: ribosomal RNA, 198 nt
Filed under: uncultured bacterium
Lineage: Bacteria
Description: partial 16S ribosomal RNA
Rfam family: Bacterial small subunit ribosomal RNA
Source: RNAcentral